GACGAACGCUGGCGGCGUGCUUAACACAUGCAAGUCGAGCGGUAAGGCCCUUUCGGGGGUACGACGAGCGGCGAACGGGUGAGUAACACGUGGGUGACCUGCCCUCAGCUCUGGGGAUAAGCCCGGGAAACUGGGUCUAAUACCGGAUAUGACUCCAUGACGCAUGUUGUGGGGUGGAAAGCCUUGUGCGGCUGAGGAUGGGCCCGCGGCCUAUCAGCUUGUUGGUGGGGUGAUGGCCUACCAAGGCGACGACGGGUAGCCGGCCUGAGAGGGCGACCGGCCACACUGGGACUGAGACACGGCCCAGACUCCUACGGGAGGCAGCAGUGGGGAAUCUUGCGCAAUGGGCGAAAGCCUGACGCAGCGACGCCGCGUGAGGGAUGACGGCCUGGUGUAAC
Molecule: ribosomal RNA, 398 nt
Filed under: uncultured bacterium
Lineage: Bacteria
Description: bacterial SSU rRNA
Rfam family: Bacterial small subunit ribosomal RNA
Source: RNAcentral